GAGAGAGAAUUCAAGAGUACGUGAAACCGUUCGGGGGUAAACCUGAGAAACCCGAAAGAUCGAAAGCCGAGAUACAGCGUCCGGCGCCGCGGGCGAUGCGGCGACGGCGUGCACUUCUCGGCCGGUAGGACGUCGCGACCCGUUGGGAGUCGCCGACGCACGAAGGGGGCGCGCGGGAAGCUCGAGGCGGCGCGGCGGGACUCGUUCCCGUCGUCUUUGCGUUGCCCCUCGAACCCGCCGCGCCUUCAAAUAGGCGCUCGGCACGCCCGACGCGACAUUCAAACACAGACCGAUGCGUUCGUUCGGCGGUGCGCCUUUGCGGCGCGCCCGACCUCGUCUCCGCCGACGCCGUCUCCUAACGGAGGGGGCGCGCGGUGGCGGGAUAUCUCGGGCGUGUGCUCGUCACACCGACGUCCGAUCGUCAGCGACGCUUUUGCUUUGGGCGUUUUCAGGACCCGUCUUGAAACACGGACCAAGGAGUCCAACGCGCGCGCGAGUCAAUGGGAGCAAACUAUUAAACCCAAAGGCGAAGCGAAAGCGAAGGACGACCGGGGGCGGGCGGAUCUCCGUCCGCAUCCCGUCGUCCGUCGGGAGGAUGGGCCGCCGACCUAAUCGAGCGGCCCCGCACUCCCGGGGCGUCUCCACCAGGCACCGUCACGAUCGACGUUCGCUCGUCGUCGUUCGGUGCCGGAGGCGCACCUCUAGCGCGCACGCUGGGACCCGAAAU
RNAcentral lists this ribosomal RNA (727 nucleotides) under Lampyris noctiluca. Its description in RNAcentral is "partial 28S ribosomal RNA". It matches the Rfam family "Eukaryotic large subunit ribosomal RNA", at positions 379 to 822 of the family's 3401-position model. Lineage: Eukaryota; Metazoa; Arthropoda; Insecta; Coleoptera; Lampyridae. The record is from RNAcentral.